CUCCAGCUUUGGUACAGGGAACCACUGAACCCAUGUGCUGCCCAUGUCUGUGUACUUUACAGACUAAGGCAGAGUUAGCCCCUCCAGGCUUUCCCAAAAGAGGGCAGAAAGGUCUAGACGCAGAAAGCAUCGGUCAUAACAAGCCAAACUCUGAUCUUUUUGGCUUGCCUUUCCAUCCACCUAGCUACCCUGUUUGCCUUGGAAAAAAAUAAGGAACAACGUGUUUUCAUCAAAGAUUUUGUGUGGUGCAUUGAAGCCCAGAGGCAACAAGAAUGCUGGACUCAUCCUGAGAAGAAUGAAUUCUACACACCAGGAGGCACAGACAGGACUCGUUCUGCUUGUCUCAGGUUAGAGUACCUGGGUGGAGGAAACUCAAUUGCAAAGCUACCUCUAUCAGAUUGCCUGUAGGAACUGCAACUCUCUCCCUGAGCUUCCUUUGUUUCCGGGUUCCUGCUCCCUGCAAUCAAGGUGGCCGUUUAUCUCCUCAAAUACCAAAGCCGUCCUCCACGGCUGAGAUGUGAAACUUUUGAGGCCAACAACUUGAUCCUGCAUGUUCAGCAAGUGUCUGUCAAGCACCUUCAGAAUCCUGAGAGCUGAGGGAGGACCAGCUGGCCCUGUCUGAGGAUAAAUGGAUGAGUAACUGAGGUUGGAGCAGUGUGGCAGGGCUGUGAGAAACUCCCCAGGAGCUACUUUCAUGAAGAGGAAGGACAAGAAGCUUUUAGAGAAUUUAGAAUCUAGGGGCAGAGACCUGUCCCAGAUUUCUAUGUUGUCCUCUUGAUGGUGGGCCCAGGGAGAGUUCCAUACUCACAGGGCAGCUGAUACCCCGACAUUUAUUAGAACCCUCUGUGGAAUUGGCAAUAACCUACUCACUCUGGUUAUAGAGAUUUUCUGGUGUGUGACUUAUACAAACAAACCUGAUUUGUGCUACUGACCAGAGUUGCCCUCUGUCCCCUGUGCCUUCUGCCCUGGCGUCUGAGAAAAGUAGAGAGUCCGAAGUCUGAUGGGUAUUGCAACAGGCAUGGCAGGGGGCAGGGCGACAUCUACGUAAGCACUGGGAGCAGCACAGCUGCAAAAACAUCUUCUACAGGAGGACCUAAUUGAGGACUGCCUGAGAGACCAAGGAUUGCUGGUUAGAAGAGAUGCAUUCUUGGGACCAAUGGGGCUCUGGUGGAGGGUAUUAAAGGCGCUUACAACAGUGUUCAGGCAAGCUUGCUGUAGCUUUUCUCACCUGCUCCCAGAGUCUGUGUCCUUGACUCCACACCACCUCACCUCCAACCCCCAAGGACAGGCAGGGACAGACAUGGAAUAGUCCAGCACACAGACAUCAUUGUAUGUCAAACCCAGAAAACAGUAAGAGGUGACAAGGGGCCUGUCUCACAAAGCUCGACAGUUGCCUUAUCAUUUAGCUAAUUAACUUUAAAAUAAAAAGUCUAAAGUCUCAGUGGUGUUGGAGAGGCCAAUCGAUGCCUCUGAGUAUGGACGGCAGAGAGAAGACCAUGGCCAGGGCUGGGCUAUGGUAACAUCGCCCAAGGAUGGCUGAGCAGUCUUCAGCUAAUCAUGACUAUUAAGCUCCUUCCCUGGGAGUUGUUUUUGAUUCCUGUGGAAUAGAUUAAGACUCUGUUUUGAAUCCCCUGGGGUUUCCUGUGGAGCAUAAUUAUAGCUGCACUGGAAUCAGAAUUCAGGUCAACAAUUACUUUAAUGAGAUGUCUGAAGAGCAUGGCCAGUGAGGGGGAGGCCCCAAGGGAGAGGGAGGGAGAAAGGGAGGAAGGGAGGAAGGGAGGGAACUAGUGGGAAGAGGGGGUAAGGAGGGAAGGUUUUAUGAAAAGGUG
Long non-coding RNA from Mus musculus (house mouse), 1829 nucleotides. RefSeq annotates it as predicted gene, 17830. The transcript has 5 exons. NCBI's taxonomy places the organism in Eukaryota, Metazoa, Chordata, Mammalia, Rodentia, Muridae. The record is from RefSeq and is marked predicted.